RNAcentral lists this transfer RNA (72 nucleotides) under Marmota monax (woodchuck). RNAcentral describes it as "tRNA.Ala". The record is from RNAcentral. Lineage: Eukaryota; Metazoa; Chordata; Mammalia; Rodentia; Sciuridae.
GGGGUUGUGGCUCAGUGGUAAAAGUGUUCACCUAGCAUGUGUGAGGCCUUGGGUUCAAUCCUCAGCACCACA